UUUAAUGGGUUAAAGAGUUGCGAUUUGAACUGCCGAAGGCGGUUCGACUCGAGCGCCAGCGAGAGAACGUCGGAGCACCGCGACGACGGCCCAAAGGGCGAGGCGAAGCCGAGUAAUCUGCCUGGUCCUACCA
RNAcentral lists this small RNA (133 nucleotides) under Marinobacter halodurans. Its description in RNAcentral is "Marinobacter sp. YJ-S3-2 RtT sRNA". It matches the Rfam family "RtT RNA". From Rfam's summary of the family: This family represents a bacterial cis-regulatory element known as RtT RNA. The exact function of RtT is unknown although it is thought that it may be involved in changing the cellular response in relation to amino acid starvation. Lineage: Bacteria; Pseudomonadati; Pseudomonadota; Gammaproteobacteria; Pseudomonadales; Marinobacteraceae. The record is from RNAcentral.